This 429-nucleotide ribosomal RNA is filed under the name Chloroflexota bacterium. Its description in RNAcentral is "Chloroflexi bacterium partial 16S ribosomal RNA". It matches the Rfam family "Bacterial small subunit ribosomal RNA", at positions 355 to 776 of the family's 1533-position model. Lineage: Bacteria; Bacillati; Chloroflexota. The record is from RNAcentral.
UGGGGAAUAUUGCACAAUGGGCGCAAGCCUGAUGCAGCCAUGCCGCGUGUAUGAAGAAGGCCUUCGGGUUGUAAAGUACUUUCAGUCGGGAGGAAGGUGGUAAGGUUAAUAACCUUAUCAAUUGACGUUACCGACAGAAGAAGCACCGUCUAACUCCGUGCCAGCAGCCGCGGUAAUACGGAGGGUGCAAGCGUUAAUCGGAAUUACUGGGCGUAAAGCGCACGCAGGCGGUUGAUUGAGUCAGAUGUGAAAUCCCCGGGCUUAACCCGGGAAUUGCAUCUGAUACUGGUCAGCUAGAGUCUUGUAGAGGGGGGUAGAAUUCCAUGUGUAGCGGUGAAAUGCGUAGAGAUGUGGAGGAAUACCGGUGGCGAAGGCGGCCCCCUGGACAAAGACUGACGCUCAGGUGCGAAAGCGUGGGGAGCAAACAGG